RNAcentral lists this ribosomal RNA (252 nucleotides) under uncultured bacterium. Its description in RNAcentral is "partial 16S ribosomal RNA". It matches the Rfam family "Bacterial small subunit ribosomal RNA", at positions 524 to 776 of the family's 1533-position model. The record is from RNAcentral.
UACGGAGGAUGCGAGCGUUAUCCGGAUUUAUUGGGUUUAAAAGGUGCGCAGGCGGCACGGCAAGCCGGCGGUCAAAUCGCGGGGCUCAACCCCGCCCAGCCGUCGGAACUGCCGGGCUAGAGUGGGCGAGAAGUGCGCGGAAUGCGUGGUGUAGCGGUGAAAUGCAUAGAUAUCACGCAGAACUCCGAUUGCGAAGGCAGCGCACCGGCGCCCUACUGACGCUCAGGCACGAAAGCGUGGGUAUCGAACAGG